This 338-nucleotide unclassified non-coding RNA is filed under the name Hevea brasiliensis (rubber tree). The record is from RNAcentral. Lineage: Eukaryota; Viridiplantae; Streptophyta; Magnoliopsida; Malpighiales; Euphorbiaceae.
UUGGCAAGUUGCCAUAUCCAGUUUGUAGUCGCAUCUACCGGAGGUGUAACUACUCGCUUUGACUGGGAAUUUGGUCUGACUGAUGGGAGACUAAGCUCUAUAGCAAUGGGCUUGAGUGUACCAAGAGGGGUCAAGAAGAAUAUGGUACGAGUUGCAUAUGCUUUUCUACCAUCAAGGGCGUUAAUGCGGUCCAAAAAUGGGAGAUAAACAUCAUGAUAAUCCAAUACAAAGAGUUUGUUUUCCUCGAGGGCCUCUUGAACAGACAUGCCAUUCAGAUGGCCAAUAAUGUGCUUUUCUUUAAGAGCAGAUUCCUGUGGACCGUAGAUUUCAGGAUCAAG